AUUGAACGCUGGCGGCAUGCCUUACACAUGCAAGUCGAACGGCAGCAUGAUCUAGCUUGCUAGAUUGAUGGCGAGUGGCGAACGGGUGAGUAAUACAUCGGAACGUGCCCUGUAGUGGGGGAUAACUAGUCGAAAGAUUAGCUAAUACCGCAUACGACCUGAGGGUGAAAGUGGGGGACCGCAAGGCCUCAUGCUAUAGGAGCGGCCGAUGUCUGAUUAGCUAGUUGGUGAGGUAAAGGCUCACCAAGGCGACGAUCAGUAGCUGGUCUGAGGGGACGAUCAGCCACACUGGGACUGAGACACGGCCCAGACUCCUACGGGAGGCAGCAGUGGGGAAUUUUGGACAAUGGGCGAAAGCCUGAUCCAGCAAUGCCGCGUGUGUGAAGAAGGCCUUCGGGUUGUAAAGCACUUUUGUCCGGAAAGAAAUGGCCCUGGUUAAUACCUGGGGUCGAUGACGGUACCGGAAGAAUAAGGACCGGCUAACUACGUG
Molecule: ribosomal RNA, 490 nt
Filed under: uncultured bacterium
Lineage: Bacteria
Description: partial 16S ribosomal RNA
Rfam family: Bacterial small subunit ribosomal RNA
Source: RNAcentral